Molecule: ribosomal RNA, 497 nt
Filed under: uncultured bacterium
Lineage: Bacteria
Description: partial 16S ribosomal RNA
Rfam family: Bacterial small subunit ribosomal RNA
Source: RNAcentral
GAUGAACGCUGGCGGCGUGCCUAAUACAUGCAAGUCGAGCGAACAGACGAGGAGCUUGCUCCUCUGACGUUAGCGGCGGACGGGUGAGUAACACGUGGAUAACCUACCUAUAAGACUGGGAUAACUUCGGGAAACCGGAGCUAAUACCGGAUAAUAUAUUGAACCGCAUGGUUCAAUAGUGAAAGACGGUUUUGCUGUCACUUAUAGAUGGAUCCGCGCCGCAUUAGCUAGUUGGUAAGGUAACGGCUUACCAAGGCAACGAUGCGUAGCUGACCUGAGAGGGUGAUCGGCCACACUGGAACUGAGACACGGUCCAGACUCCUACGGGAGGCAGCAGUAGGGAAUCUUCCGCAAUGGGCGAAAGCCUGACGGAGCAACGCCGCGUGAGUGAUGAAGGUCUUCGGAUCGUAAAGCUCUGUUAUUAGGGAAGAACAAAUGUGUAAGUAACUAUGCACGUCUUGACGGUACCUAAUCAGAAAGCCACGGCUAACUACGUG